Molecule: ribosomal RNA, 221 nt
Filed under: uncultured bacterium
Lineage: Bacteria
Description: partial 16S ribosomal RNA
Rfam family: Bacterial small subunit ribosomal RNA
Source: RNAcentral
UACGGUCUCAGUUCAGAUUGCAGGCUGCAACUCGCCUGCAUGAAGUUGGAAUUGCUAGUAAUCGCGAAUCAGAAUGUCGCGGUGAAUACGUUCCCGGGCCUUGUACACACCGCCCGUCACACCAUGAGAGUCGAUAACACCCGAAGCCUGUGAGCUAACCUUUUAGGAGGCAGCAGUCGAAGGUGGGGUUGGUGAUUGGGGUGAAGUCGUAACAAGGUAUC